AUUGAACGCUGGCGGCAGGCCUAACACAUGCAAGUCGAACGAGUGGCGGACGGGUGAGUAAUGUCUGGGAAACUGCCCGAUGGAGGGGGAUAACUACUGGACACGGUAUCUAAUACCGCAUACCCUCGGAUGUGCCCAGAUGGGAUUGGCUAGGAGGUGGGGUAACGGCUCACCUAGGCGACGAUCCCUAGCUGGUCUGAGAGGAUGAACAGCAACACUGGAACUGAGAAACGGGCCAGACUCCUACGGGAGGCAGCAGUGGGGAAUAUUGGACAAUGGGCGCAAGCCUGAUGCAGCCAUGCCGCGUGUAUGAAGAAGGCCUUCGGGUUGUAAAGUACUUUCAGCGAGGAGGCGUUACCCGCAGAAGAAGCACCGGCUAACUCCGUGCCAGCAGCCGCGGUAAUAC
This 406-nucleotide ribosomal RNA is filed under the name uncultured bacterium. RNAcentral describes it as "partial 16S ribosomal RNA". It matches the Rfam family "Bacterial small subunit ribosomal RNA", at positions 30 to 526 of the family's 1533-position model. The record is from RNAcentral.